CGAUUAUACACCAAGACAAUUUCCACGACGGGGGAGGGGAGCGCGUAGCUUUGCGCGCGAUAAUUACGAGUGUUCGUUCGCUGUGAAAUAUGUUUAACUGGCCUGGUGGUGGGUGAGAUACAAGGGGUGAAAUAAUUCCUCUCUCGAACACGCGGGAUCGCCGUCAUUCCAAAUCUCUUGUUCCCGUGCCUCGUCACGACGACGACGAUAUGAUUUCUCAGUCAAAUGACCCACAUUUGCGCAAAGAGGGAGAACGCGUAUAUACAGGGUGUUCGAAGAAAACUGGAGAUGUAAUAAUGUAUUCAAGAGAGAUGUAAGGUAUCGGUGUCUUCCUCUUCCUCCUUCGACUUCCGUCUACCCUUUUCUGGCCGAAAAAUAACUGUGUCGUUGGCUUCGGAUCGGGGCAGAGAGAAAGGGUGGCCAUUUGGGAGCAUGGAGGGAAGGAGAAAUGAAACUACGUGGCAGGGAAUUCGUACUUUUGGGAAGCCGCAAGCAAAAGGACUGGUGGGAAUAUCGGGAGAAAGGAAUAGAAAUGGGAAUUUAGUUCAAUCGAAAGGAUUCUUAUUAAUAGUGGGUCCUCCACCCAGAGAAGGGUGAAUUGCCACCAAAAUGGAAAAUUGCUGGCAAGUGGAACGCCGAGCACGCGUUUAAUUCCACGCGUUCAAUCGGUAAAACAUAAAUAUAUUUAUUAUAUAUUUUGAAUUUCCCGCCCCUAAUGGGAUACGUGAUAGAAAUUUUUGAACAUUUAUAAAAUUUGGAUCUUUUAUAUACUUACUCCUAUUACUGUUGGAAAUUUUCGAACACAUUUUAAUCACAGUAUUUCAGUUAUUCCGUACGAAAUUACCUCUUCUUUGUAAAAUAUUAAAUUGUAGCCUCUGUUAAUUUUAAGGAAACAGAUUUCAGAUUUAUUUCUAUAAAUUUUUCUAAUAUCUAUUGCAAUGAUUUUGAAUAUUAUCAAUUUUACAUGACGAAAUUUCCUAAGAGAUGUGUCUGUUCCACGUAUGGUGAUAAUGUUUAUAUUUCCCUAUAUAGUUUAUUCAGAGUACGCAAUACGUUCGACCUGAUAAUUUCAUUUCAUUUUGCCAGUACGCCAGAAUCAUGUUCGCCCAGUGUCACACGAUUGAACGAAAAGCUCGCCAACUGCUAAUAUAAGUUGGGUGUAAUUAUUCUCUCUGUGGAUGGAGAUUGAAAGGACCGUCAAAAUGAAAUUUCACAUCUAUCAUACCUAUGUAAACAACGUGUGUAUAGUGAAUUCCGCUUUCGCGACAUAUUUGCGCGCAAUAUAAUUAUACCGCUACAUUGCCCGACUGUUAGUGAUUAAUUACUAGUUACCAACUCGUUAUAUUUAAUUGUUCGUUUAUUAUUCACUGUUCUUAAACCGUUUAAAUUUUCGUAUAUACAUAUACAUAUAUAUAUAAAAUAUAUAUAUAUAUAUUAUAUACGGUAUAACUUUCGUUUAUUAAUUUAAAUCCAUUUGCAUCGCGGCCCUCCGCUAUUAAACAACCCGUGGCUCGAUAAAAUUCUCAUCGUACCGUCGAGACCUUCUGUCCAUACACGAGCCUUCAUGAAAAUUUGCCCUUCUCUCUGGAGAAACCAUCUCUCUUUCUCGAAAAAAAAAAAUCUGCAAAAUAUGAUAACAAUAUUCAAAAAUAAUGCAGCCACACAGACAGGCGCGUACACAUACACGCGUCCGUGCAACAUAUAUCAUAAAAAGUAGAAAAAAAAAAAAAAGAGUCCAUCGUGAGCGCGGAAAUAAAUGCUGGCCAGUUUGUUUUUUCCCAUGGAACGUGCCAAUAUGAAAAAAAGAGGGGGGCAGAGAGAUGGCCGGUGGCAGGAAUACUUAACUGCAUCCGUUGAAUAUUCGCAGACACACACGGAGGGUUACCCGAAUGCUCGCAUACCCGUCGCAUUCGAUAUAGAAUGCCGUGUAAUAUAUGUGCCCGUGCACACACACACACACGUGCAUACAUAUCCGGAGCUGUUCGGAAAAGGGACAGCGCACGGCUGUUUAAAUUACUAAACUUUAAACUUUCACUCACGUAUGCAAACUAAUGCAAACUGGAGGCUUGUGGAAGGAACUGCAAACAGCUCACUCGGGAGUCCCUACUACCAUCCACGCUCCCAGUCUCUCGACACCCUCUCCCCAGCCUCCCCAACCGGUGUGGUCCACCUUCUCUCCACCUUCACCCCCUUGCUUCGCCGCCCAGCCCUCCUAAAAAGCCUCUCCAACCCUCUCCUGUGCGUCUCUCCCCCCUCCCCCUUCCGGCUGAGCCUCCGUUAUCUAUAUAUCGGGUGUCCUAAUUUUCCUCCGUGUCGGGAUCGAGCUUUCAACCCUUUCCUUGCGCUCCGCUCCCAACAGAGUUCUCGCGAGCGUUCUCGCUUAAGCCAAAUGAAGAGCCGGGUAAAGCACGUCAUUAAGAACGCGGAGUGGUAUUCAUUUCUACGGCAGGCUUUAAGGCGGCAGCUGGCGGUCGUUACGAACGUCAUUAAACGGGGGGAGGAGGAGGGGGCAACGGAGGAAAGGUCAACGAUUCGCCCCGUGUCCUCGGCGUUCAACGUUAGAACGAGAAUUCCGCGAUGGAGAUGGAAACGGCGUGCGCUCGGGGGACGAUGAUGGUGGAAGGAUGCGAGCCACGAUUUCGGCCACGAUGCGAGCGGAAUUUGGUGUGUUAACGAAGGUUGUUCGCGGUGUAGUUUGAUUAAAACGUGUGUGUGUGUGUGUGUUUUUUUUUUCGGUUGAAACGCGUUACGAAUUCAGUACGUGGAGGUUGUCGGGUAAUUCGUAUAGAGAUGUUCCCUGAGAAUUUUAUGAUGUUUGUCAUGAGGUAUAUUGGAUGGCGCGUCUUUUGAUUAUAGAUUGAUUUUUGCGUUAAUUCUUCAUGAUUCGAGUAGCUUUCGUGGUAGAUUGCUCGUGGAUCGAUGAUAGAAUUUGGUGGAAUCUUUUUGUAGAAAAGGAAUUUGAAGCAAUUCCACCGAGUUUGGGUUUAAAAUUUUAUUACAUAUAUAUUUUGAUACAUAUAUAUAUAUAGGUAUUAUUUGUAUUUAUUUGAUAGAAUUUUUUCUACUGAUACUAUAAUUCUUAUAUACUCUGUUCCCAAAAGAAAUCUUCGCAUUAAUUCUUUUUAAAUAUCGAUUAGUGUUUCUAACGUAUCCUACCAUUUUGAAUAUAUUGAAAACGAUAUCGUGAUUGAAGCGAUAAAAAUACAAAACUAUAUCCCAAACCCUUAUUGUAAUGCUGCUUACGGACGUGAAAACGUAAUAAAGACUUUUUACGUACAUAUAAA
Molecule: long non-coding RNA, 3284 nt
Organism: Apis cerana (Asiatic honeybee)
Lineage: Eukaryota; Metazoa; Arthropoda; Insecta; Hymenoptera; Apidae
Source: RefSeq, a predicted model, not a curated record